This 203-nucleotide long non-coding RNA is filed under the name Phaseolus vulgaris (common bean). Its description in RNAcentral is "long non-coding RNA (PVUL_LNC005325)". The record is from RNAcentral. Lineage: Eukaryota; Viridiplantae; Streptophyta; Magnoliopsida; Fabales; Fabaceae.
CGAAAACGACUGUGCAGCAGCCAGCACCUAUUCAUAUUUGCUCUUCUUUUCUCACUCUUUUCUUCUUUCCUCAUACUAUUAUUAUAAAAUAAAAAUGAAUAGUAUUUAGUAUUAUUUAUUACUUUCUAUAUAUUCUCCGGAAACAAUGUCUUUCACUCUGAUUUCAUAAUCUUCUCUUCUGUUCCUUCUGCUUUGUCUUUCUC